ACGGGAGGCAGCAGUGGGGAAUAUUGGACAAUGGGGGGAACCCUGAUCCAGCCAUGCCGCGUGUGUGAAGAAGGCCUUUUGGUUGUAAAGCACUUUAAGCGAGGAGGAGGCUUACCUGGUUAAUACCUGGGAUAAGUGGACGUUACUCGCAGAAUAAGCACCGGCUAACUCUGUGCCAGCAGCCGCGGUAAUACAGAGGGUGCAAGGGUUAAUCGGAUUUACUGGGCGUAAAGCGCGCGUAGGUGGCUAAUUAAGUCAGAUGUGAAAUCCCCGAGCUUAACUUGGGAAUUGCAUUCGAUACUGGUGAGCUAGAGUAUGGGAGAGGAUGGUAGAAUUCCAGGUGUAGCGGUGAAAUGCGUAGAGAUCUGGAGGAAUACCGAUGGCGAAGGCAGCCAUCUGGCCUAAUACUGACACUGAGGUGCGAAAGCAUGGGGAGCAAACAGGAUUAGAUACCCUGGUA
This 460-nucleotide ribosomal RNA is filed under the name uncultured Acinetobacter sp. Its description in RNAcentral is "bacterial SSU rRNA". It matches the Rfam family "Bacterial small subunit ribosomal RNA", at positions 341 to 792 of the family's 1533-position model. The record is from RNAcentral. Lineage: Bacteria; Pseudomonadati; Pseudomonadota; Gammaproteobacteria; Moraxellales; Moraxellaceae.